AAGCUCAGUGACCGAUGGGAGAAUGCACCAUACGUGGUCGAGGGCCAGCAGCGGCCUGGACAGCCAGUAUAUACAAUUCGGCCCGAAGGAAAAGCCGGGCCCGCUAGAGUGGUCCAUCGGAACAUGAUCCGCCCCUGUCCGAACUAUUCCAGCCCCGUAGAAGAGGCGCCAAAGGAGCCUGAAGCUGUAGCCCCGUGGAUAGCAGGAUGGGCCGUGAUUCCAGGAGAACGGGGAAAUGUCCCCGCAGAAAUGGCCCCCAGAGACCCGAUGGAUAUGCCUGCGGACAUCGACCCUGCCUCGCCACCACGACGGUCCCAGAGGGAGAACCGAGGUCGGCCCCCGGCACGCUAUGGAGAAUGGGCGACUGAAAGGCGUUCUAGGGACUAGAACGGUUUGGCAGGGGGGUAUGUCACGGGGGUGACGAAAGAGAAGCGGAACUAAGUCCCGUUGGAAUUGUGUUCCCCCCGGGACGGUGUCGCGGUAACACCGGUCCACUUCCGGGUUGCGCCCGAUGUCACAAUAACAACGCUAAUGAUAGAUUGACAUCUGGUGUGGGGAGUUUGACGUGGCGAUCUGUGAGAGGAUUAUGGAAGCGGAGUAACCACAUAAAAAGAGAAGUGCAGAGACCAAAAGUGAGGUGAAUUUCUGGGACGGUUGGGCUGGCGUGUGGAGGUAUUCGAGGACUAUUGUGGGGUUUCGGCUAUCUGGCUGUGCAACAGUUAUAUCAGCGAUCGAGUGGAGAUAUUCAGGACAGAAAGAGUGUGAGUUCUGGAAAGCAAGUGGAGACCAGGCCGCGCCAUCACUAUCGGAGGGAAGUUAAGAGACCUGAUCUGGGACUUCGAUCAAUUGUAUACAUCUGGACUGGGAGUGAUAACGUUGUGAAGUGGACGGAGCCAUCGUUGGAUCGCAGGAUCCUCUGGGCUGAACGCCGCAUGUGAUGUCCCUAUGAAAGGAGAUCGCAGGAUCCUCUGGGCUGAACGCCGCAUGUGAUGUCCCUAUGAAAGGAGGUGGACACACGAAUUAUUCCUUUCUCGGUCUUAACUGAAGCAUCUCCCAGCCGUAAGCCCAUCACCCAUUAAAGACUACAUACCUGCUGUCGAUUGCUUACUCUGCUGUGCAGAUCGUAGGAUCCCCUGGGACGAAUGCUGCAUGUGAUGUCCCUAUGAAAAGAGAUUGCGGGAUCCUCUGGGCUGGACGCUGCAUGUGAUGUCCCUGUAAAAGGAGGUGGACACGAGAAUUAUUCCUUUUCCCGGUCUCGACCGAAACAUCCACGAGCUCUACUUACCCGGAUAUCCCCCCCUCAUUCCGGGACGGGUGACAGACUAUCCUGGCUCUUGCCGGCCCCGUACAGGCACGAAUUGCCGACGACUCCACGCCUCCUCGGCGUCCGAGGUCUGGCUUCGUUCUGGUCGGGAGACACGGAAGGAACACUGAACUUUUAAAUUGCUUUUAACCAAAUAAAACCUUGUUCAAUUUUUUU
This is a long non-coding RNA of Cyprinus carpio (common carp), 1480 nucleotides long. RefSeq lists it as uncharacterized. Lineage: Eukaryota; Metazoa; Chordata; Actinopteri; Cypriniformes; Cyprinidae. The transcript has 3 exons. The record is from RefSeq and is a predicted model, not a curated record.